Callithrix jacchus (white-tufted-ear marmoset) is the source of this 112-nucleotide Y RNA. It matches the Rfam family "Y RNA". Rfam says of the family: Y RNAs are components of the Ro ribonucleoprotein particle (Ro RNP), in association with Ro60 and La proteins. The Y RNAs and Ro60 and La proteins are well conserved, but the function of the Ro RNP is not known. In humans the RNA component can be one of four small RNAs -- hY1, hY3, hY4 and hY5. The record is from Ensembl. Lineage: Eukaryota; Metazoa; Chordata; Mammalia; Primates; Cebidae.
GGCUGGUCCGAAGGUGGUGAGUUAUCUCAGCUGAUUGUUCACUGUCAGCUACAAAUCAAACUCCUUGUUGCACUCUUUCCCCCAUCUCACUACUGCACUUGACCAGUCUUUU